UACGUAGGGAGCGAGCGUUGUCCGGAUUCAUUGGGCGUAAAGAGCUCGUAGGCGGUUCGGUAAGUCGGGUGUGAAAUCUCCGUGCUCAACACGGAGCGGCCACCUGAUACUGCCGUGACUCGAGUCCGGUAGGGGAGUGUGGAAUUCCCGGUGUAGCGGUGAAAUGCGCAGAUAUCAGGAGGAACACCGGUGGCGAAGGCGGUUCUCUGGGCAUGUCCUGACGCUGAGGAGCGAAAGUGUGGGGAGCGAACAGG
This 254-nucleotide ribosomal RNA is filed under the name uncultured bacterium. Its description in RNAcentral is "partial 16S ribosomal RNA". It matches the Rfam family "Bacterial small subunit ribosomal RNA", at positions 524 to 776 of the family's 1533-position model. The record is from RNAcentral.